Molecule: ribosomal RNA, 429 nt
Filed under: Pseudomonadota bacterium
Lineage: Bacteria; Pseudomonadati; Pseudomonadota
Description: Proteobacteria bacterium partial 16S ribosomal RNA
Rfam family: Bacterial small subunit ribosomal RNA
Source: RNAcentral
UGGGGAAUAUUGGACAAUGGGCGAAAGCCUGAUCCAGCCAUGCCGCGUGUGUGAAGAAGGUCUUCGGAUUGUAAAGCACUUUAAGUUGGGAGGAAGGGCAGUAAGCGAAUACCUUGCUGUAUUGACGUUACCGACAGAAUAAGCACCGGCUAACUCUGUGCCAGCAGCCGCGGUAAUACAGAGGGUGCAAGCGUUAAUCGGAAUUACUGGGCGUAAAGCGCGCGUAGGUGGUUCGUUAAGUUGAAUGUGAAAGCCCCGGGCUCAACCUGGGAACUGCAUCCAAAACUGGCGAGCUAGAGUAGGGCAGAGGGUGGUGGAAUUUCCUGUGUAGCGGUGAAAUGCGUAGAUAUAGGAAGGAACACCAGUGGCGAAGGCGACCACCUGGGCUCAUACUGACACUGAGGUGCGAAAGCGUGGGGAGCAAACAGG